RNAcentral lists this ribosomal RNA (492 nucleotides) under uncultured bacterium. RNAcentral's name for it is "partial 16S ribosomal RNA". It matches the Rfam family "Bacterial small subunit ribosomal RNA", at positions 29 to 507 of the family's 1533-position model. The record is from RNAcentral.
AGUGAACGCUGGCCGUAGGCCUAACACAUGCAAGUCGAACGGCAGCACAGUAAGAGCUUGCUCUUACGGGUGGCGAGUGGCGGACGGGUGAGGAAUACAUCGGAAUCUACUUUUUCGUGGGGGAUAACGUAGGGAAACUUACGCUAAUACCGCAUACGACCUACGGGUGAAAGCAGGGGAUCUUCGGACCUUGCGCGAUUGAAUGAGCCGAUGUCGGAUUAGCUAGUUGGCGGGGUAAAGGCCCACCAAGGCGACGAUCCGUAGCUGGUCUGAGAGGAUGAUCAGCCACACUGGAACUGAGACACGGUCCAGACUCCUACGGGAGGCAGCAGUGGGGAAUAUUGGACAAUGGGCGCAAGCCUGAUCCAGCCAUACCGCGUGGGUGAAGAAGGCCUUCGGGUUGUAAAGCCCUUUUGUUGGGAAAGAAAAGCAGCAGGUUAAUACCCCGCUGUUCUGACGGUACCCAAAGAAUAAGCACCGGCUAACUUCGUG